UCCUGGCUCAGAUUGAACGCUGGCGGCAUGCCUUACACAUGCAAGUCGAACGGCAGCACGGGAGCAAUCCUGGUGGCGAGUGGCGAACGGGUGAGUAAUAUAUCGGAACGUGCCCAGUAGUGGGGGAUAACUGCUCGAAAGAGCAGCUAAUACCGCAUACGACCUGAGGGUGAAAGGGGGGAUCGCAAGACCUCUCGCUAUUGGAGCGGCCGAUAUCAGAUUAGCUAGUUGGUGGGGUAAAGGCCUACCAAGGCAACGAUCUGUAGUUGGUCUGAGAGGACGACCAGCCACACUGGGACUGAGACACGGCCCAGACUCCUACGGGAGGCAGCAGUGGGGAAUUUUGGACAAUGGGCGCAAGCCUGAUCCAGCAAUGCCGCGUGCAGGAAGAAGGCCUCGGUUGUAAC
RNAcentral lists this ribosomal RNA (407 nucleotides) under uncultured bacterium. Its description in RNAcentral is "bacterial SSU rRNA". It matches the Rfam family "Bacterial small subunit ribosomal RNA", at positions 17 to 429 of the family's 1533-position model. The record is from RNAcentral.